CGGACGGGUGAGUAACACGUGGGUAACCUACCUAUAAGACUGGGAUAACUCCGGGAAACCGGGGCUAAUACCGGAUAAUAUUUUGAACCGCAUGGUUCAAUAGUGAAAGACGGUUUCGGCUGUCACUUAUAGAUGGACCCGCGCCGUAUUAGCUAGUUGGUAAGGUAACGGCUUACCAAGGCGACGAUACGUAGCCGACCUGAGAGGGUGAUCGGCCACACUGGAACUGAGACACGGUCCAGACUCCUACGGGAGGCAGCAGCC
RNAcentral lists this ribosomal RNA (264 nucleotides) under uncultured Staphylococcus sp. Its description in RNAcentral is "partial 16S ribosomal RNA". It matches the Rfam family "Bacterial small subunit ribosomal RNA", at positions 99 to 355 of the family's 1533-position model. The record is from RNAcentral. Lineage: Bacteria; Bacillati; Bacillota; Bacilli; Caryophanales; Staphylococcaceae.